UACGAAGGGGGCUAGCGUUGUUCGGAAUUACUGGGCGUAAAGCGUGCGCAGGCGGCUUCUCAAGUCAGGGGUGAAAGCCCAGAGCUCAACUCUGGAAUUGCCUUUGAGACUGAGUGGCUUGAGUACGAGAGAGGUGAGUGGAAUUCCCAGUGUAGAGGUGAAAUUCGUAGAUAUUGGGAAGAACACCGGUGGCGAAGGCGGCUCACUGGCUCGUAUCUGACGCUCAGGCGCGACAGCGUGGGGAUCAAACAGG
RNAcentral lists this ribosomal RNA (253 nucleotides) under uncultured bacterium. RNAcentral's name for it is "partial 16S ribosomal RNA". It matches the Rfam family "Bacterial small subunit ribosomal RNA", at positions 524 to 776 of the family's 1533-position model. The record is from RNAcentral.